RNAcentral lists this ribosomal RNA (250 nucleotides) under uncultured bacterium. RNAcentral describes it as "partial 16S ribosomal RNA". It matches the Rfam family "Bacterial small subunit ribosomal RNA", at positions 57 to 305 of the family's 1533-position model. The record is from RNAcentral.
GCAAGUCGAGCGACGGACCCACUUCGGUGGGGGACCGAGCGGCAAACGGGUGAGUAACACACUGGUAACCUACCUUCGAGACAGGGAUAGCCUCGGGAAACCGAGAUUAAUACCUGAUAGUCAUGGGGGGACAUAUGUCAUUCCCAUGUAAAUCAUUUUUGGCUCGAAGAGGGGCCUAUGGCCGAUUAGUUUGUUGGUAGGGUAAUGGCCUACCAAGACUGUGAUCGGUAGCAGGCGUGAGAGCGUGACC